GGCUGGGGCAUCCCCUUCCUCCCUUACCGCUCCAUGUGCAUCCCCCCUCCCGAAGCUGUGUGCUCAAUCGAAGACAAUGACUUUCCCCGAAUAGAGGAGGACCAGUCUUCGGUCAAGGGUAUAUGAGUAGCUGCGCUCCCCUGCUAGAACCUCCAAACAAGCUCUCAAGGUCCAGAAUUCAGCUUUUAUUAAGGGUCCCCAGUAAGGUUGGGGCUGUGGCCGCAUUU
Cricetulus griseus (Chinese hamster) is the source of this 227-nucleotide unclassified non-coding RNA. Its record names the gene 7SK. It matches the Rfam family "7SK RNA". From Rfam's summary of the family: 7SK was discovered as an abundant small nuclear RNA in the mid-70s but a possible function has only recently been suggested. Two independent studies have found that 7SK RNA binds the CDK9/cyclin T complex (known as elongation factor P-TEFb). The record is from Ensembl. Lineage: Eukaryota; Metazoa; Chordata; Mammalia; Rodentia; Cricetidae.